GGGUCGGUGGUCCUUGGGCAGGGGUCUCUGAUCCCGGACGAGCCCCCAAAUGAAAGACCCCCGAAAUGGGUGUCCCUU
Molecule: microRNA precursor, 78 nt
Organism: Ochotona princeps (American pika)
Lineage: Eukaryota; Metazoa; Chordata; Mammalia; Lagomorpha; Ochotonidae
Source: Ensembl